Molecule: ribosomal RNA, 253 nt
Filed under: uncultured bacterium
Lineage: Bacteria
Description: partial 16S ribosomal RNA
Rfam family: Bacterial small subunit ribosomal RNA
Source: RNAcentral
UACAGAGGGGGCUAGCGUUAUUCGGAAUUAUUGGGCGUAAAGGGCGCGUAGGCGGCUUUGCGUGUCUUCCGUGAAAUCCCUCGGCUCAACUGGGGAGGGUCAUUCGAUACUGAUCGACUCGAAGGCAGGAGAGGGUAGUGGAAUUCCCGGUGUAGUGGUGAAAUGCGUAGAUAUCGGGAGGAACACCAGUGGCGAAGGCGACUACCUGGCCUGUUCUUGACGCUGAGGCGCGAAAGCUAGGGGAGCAAACGGG